GACGAACGCUGGCGGCGUGCUUAACACAUGCAAGUCGAACGGAAAGGCCCUGCUUUUGUGAGGUGCUCGAGUGGCGAACGGGCGAGUAACACGUGAGUAACCUGCCCUUGACUUUGGGAUAACUUCAGGAAACUGGGGCUAAUACCGGAUAGGAGCUCCUGCUGCAUGGUGGGGGUUGGAAAGUUUCGGCGGUUGGGGAUGGACUCGCGGCUUAUCAGCUUGUUGGUGGGGUAGUGGCUUACCAAGGCUUUGACGGGUAGCCGGCCUGAGAGGGUGACCGGCCACAUUGGGACUGAGAUACGGCCCAGACUCCUACGGGAGGCAGCAGUGGGGAAUAUUGCACAAUGGGCGGAAGCCUGAUGCAGCAACGCCGCGUGCGGGAUGACGGCCUUCGGGUUGUAAACCGCUUUCGCCUGUGACGAAGCGUGAGUGACGGUAAUGGGUAAAGAAGCACCGGCUAACUACGUG
This 468-nucleotide ribosomal RNA is filed under the name uncultured bacterium. RNAcentral describes it as "partial 16S ribosomal RNA". It matches the Rfam family "Bacterial small subunit ribosomal RNA", at positions 28 to 507 of the family's 1533-position model. The record is from RNAcentral.